UACGGAGGGUGCAAGCAUUAAUCGGAGUUAUUGGGCGUAAAGGGCGCGUAGGCGGGAGUAUAAGUCAGACGUGAAAUCCCGGGGCUCAACCCCGGAACAGCGUUUGAAACUAUAUUUCUGGAGGGUAGACGGAGAAAGCGGAAUUCCACAAGUAGCGGUGAAAUGCGUAGAUAUGUGGAAGAACACCUGUGGCGAAGGCGGCUUUCUAGUUUACACCUGACGCUGAGGCGCGAAAGCAAGGGGAGCAAACAGG
This 253-nucleotide ribosomal RNA is filed under the name uncultured bacterium. RNAcentral's name for it is "partial 16S ribosomal RNA". It matches the Rfam family "Bacterial small subunit ribosomal RNA", at positions 524 to 776 of the family's 1533-position model. The record is from RNAcentral.